This is a long non-coding RNA of Triticum dicoccoides, 315 nucleotides long. RefSeq lists it as uncharacterized. The transcript is spliced from 4 exons. The record is from RefSeq and is a predicted model, not a curated record. Lineage: Eukaryota; Viridiplantae; Streptophyta; Magnoliopsida; Poales; Poaceae.
CACUGUUGCUGCAGUGCUCCAGGAGAUUGUGUCAAUUUACCCUUCACUUUCACCUCCUACUUUGUCGCCAGUUGCAUCAAACCGUGUCUGCAAUGCACUUGCACUUCUUCAGUGUGUUGCUUCACACCCUGAGACCAGGAUCCCGUUCUUGAAUGCUCACAUCCCACUGUACGUGUACCCGUUCCUGAAUACUACCAGCAAGACAAGACCUUUUGAGUACUUGAGGCUUACCAGCUUGGGUGUUAUUGGUGCUCUUGUGAAGGUAAAUUAAAACUAGAUACUUAUGCAAACUAGGAAUGGAUGGUCCAUAUAGAU